Molecule: ribosomal RNA, 579 nt
Filed under: Colletotrichum gloeosporioides
Lineage: Eukaryota; Fungi; Ascomycota; Sordariomycetes; Glomerellales; Glomerellaceae
Description: eukaryotic LSU rRNA
Rfam family: 5.8S ribosomal RNA (bases 205-358)
Source: RNAcentral
UAGGGGAUCAUUACUGAGUUACCGCUCUAUAACCCUUUGUGAACAUACCUACAACUGUUGCUUCGGCGGGUAGGCCGUCCCCUGAAAAGGACGCCUCCCGGCCCGGACCGGACCCCCUGUGGGGCCGGACUCGGCGCCCGCCGGAGGAUAACCAAACGCUAUUUUAACGACGUUUCUUCUGAGUGGCAUAAGCAAAAUAAUCAAAACUUUUAACAACGGAUCUCUUGGUUCUGGCAUCGAUGAAGAACGCAGCGAAAUGCGAUAAGUAAUGUGAAUUGCAGAAUUCAGUGAAUCAUCGAAUCUUUGAACGCACAUUGCGCCCGCCAGCAUUCUGGCGGGCAUGCCUGUUCGAGCGUCAUUUCAACCCUCAAGCUCUGCUUGGUGUUGGGGCUCUACGGUCGACGUAGGCCCUCAAAGGUAGUGGCGGACCCUCCCGGAGCCUCCUUUGCGUAGUAACAUUUCGUCUCGCACUGGGAUCCGGAGGGACUCUUGCCGUAAAACCCCCCAAUUUUUCAAGGUUGACCUCGGAUCAGGUAGGAAUACCCGCUGAACUUAAGCAUAUCGUUAAAGCGGAGGAAU